AGCCUGAUCAGCCAUGCCGCGUGGGUGAAGAAGGCCUUCGGGUUGUAAAGCCCUUUUGUCCGGAAAGAAAAGUUCUGGGUUAAUAACCCAGGAUCAUGACGGUACCGGAAGAAUAAGCACCGGCUAACUUCGUGCCAGCAGCCGCGGUAAUACGAAGGGUGCAAGCGUUACUCGGAAUUACUGGGCGUAAAGCGUGCGUAGGUGGUGGUUUAAGUCAGAUGUGAAAGCCCAGGGCUCAACCAGGGAACUGCAUUUGAAACUGGAUCACUAGAGUGCGGUAGAGGAUAGUGGAAUUCCCGGUGUAGCAGUGAAAUGCGUAGAGAUCGGGAGGAACACCAGUGGCGAAGGCGACUAUCAGGACCAGCACUGACACUGAGGCACGAAAGCGUGGGGAGCAAACAGGAUUAGAUACCCUGGUAGUCCACGCCCUAAACGAUCCGAACAGGAUGUUGGGAGCAACUUGGCUCUCAGUAUCAAAGCUAACGAAAGGAGUUCGCCCCCCGCGGAGUACCGUCACAAGAAUGGAACUCCCCAGGAAUGGGCGGGCCCCCCGGAAAAGCCGGUGGAGAUA
RNAcentral lists this ribosomal RNA (571 nucleotides) under Lysobacteraceae bacterium So1Ps_731. Its description in RNAcentral is "bacterial SSU rRNA". It matches the Rfam family "Bacterial small subunit ribosomal RNA", at positions 380 to 943 of the family's 1533-position model. Lineage: Bacteria; Pseudomonadati; Pseudomonadota; Gammaproteobacteria; Lysobacterales; Lysobacteraceae. The record is from RNAcentral.